RNAcentral lists this ribosomal RNA (423 nucleotides) under uncultured bacterium. Its description in RNAcentral is "partial 16S ribosomal RNA". It matches the Rfam family "Bacterial small subunit ribosomal RNA", at positions 360 to 775 of the family's 1533-position model. The record is from RNAcentral.
AAUUUUGGUCAAUGGGGGAAACCCUGAUCCAGCCAUCCCGCGUGUAUGAUUAAGGCCUUCGGUUUGUAAAGCACUUUAAGUUGGGAGGAAGGGCAGUAAGUUAAUACCUUGUUGUUUUGACGUCACCGACAGAAAAACCACCGGCUAACUCCGUGCUAGCAGCCGCGGUAAUCCGAAGGGUGCAAGCGUUAAUUGGAAUUAAUGGGCGUAAAGCGCGCGGAGGUGGUUUGUUAAGUUGGAAGUGAAAGCACCGGGCUCAACCUGGGAACUGCUUUCAAAACUGGCAAGCUAGAGUAUGGCAGAGGGUGGUGGAAUUUCCUGUGUAGCGGUGAAAUGCGUAGAUAUAGGAAGGAACACCAGUGGCGAAGGCGACCACCUGGGCUAAUACUGACACUGAGGUGCGAAAGCGUGGGGAGCAAACAG